Molecule: non-coding RNA, 83 nt
Organism: Larimichthys crocea (large yellow croaker)
Lineage: Eukaryota; Metazoa; Chordata; Actinopteri; Sciaenidae
Source: the annotation of a RefSeq genome assembly
GUUGUCGUGGCCGAGUGGUUAAGAGCGUGGACUAGAAAUCCAUUGGGUCUACCCUGCGCAGGUUCGAAUCCUGGCCGACAACG